GACGAACGCUGGCGGCGCGCUUAAUACAUGCAAGUCGAACGGAAAGGCCUGCUUUCCCUUGUGGGUUGCGGGUGCUCGAGUGUCGAACGGGUGAGUAACACGUGAGUGAUCUGCCCCCAACUUUUGUAUAAGCCUGGGAAACUGGGUCUAAUUCCCGAUAGGACUGCAGUGUGGUGCGUGUGGUGGCAAACGAUUUUCUAGUGGUUGGGGAUGAGCUCGCGGCCUAUCAGCUGGUUGGUGGGGUAAUGGCCUACCAAUGCGGGGACGGGUAGCCGGCCUGGGAGAGUGGACGGGCACAGUGGGACGGAGAUACGGCGCAGACGACUACGCGCGGAAGCCGACGGGAAGAAUGCACGAUGGGCGGUAGCCUGAGGGAGCGAGGCCGCGUCGGGGAUGACGGGCUUGGGGUUGUAAACUCCUUUCGGCCGAGAGGAAGCCACCUGGUUGGAAGGUUAGUGACGGUAGUGGUAGAAGAAGCACCGGCUAACUACGUG
This 494-nucleotide ribosomal RNA is filed under the name uncultured bacterium. RNAcentral describes it as "partial 16S ribosomal RNA". It matches the Rfam family "Bacterial small subunit ribosomal RNA", at positions 28 to 507 of the family's 1533-position model. The record is from RNAcentral.